GAUGAACGCUGGCGGCGUGCCUAAUACAUGCAAGUCGAGCGAACAGACGAGGAGCUUGCUCCUCUGACGUUAGCGGCGGACGGGUGAGUAACACGUGGAUAACCUACCUAUAAGACUGGGAUAACUUCGGGAAACCGGAGCUAAUACCGGAUAAUAUAUUGAACCGCAUGGUUCAAUAGUGAAAGACGGUUUUGCUGUCACUUAUAGAUGGAUCCGCGCCGCAUUAGCUAGUUGGUAAGGUAACGGCUUACCAAGGCAACGAUGCGUAGCCGACCUGAGAGGGUGAUCAGCCACACUGGAACUGAGACACGGUCCAGACUCCUACGGGAGGCAGCAGUAGGGAAUCUUCCGCAAUGGGCGAAAGCCUGACGGAGCAACGCCGCGUGAGUGAUGAAGGUCUUCGGAUCGUAAAACUCUGUUAUUAGGGAAGAACAAAUGUGUAAGUAACUAUGCACGUCUUGACGGUACCUAAACAGAAAGCCACGGCUAACUACGUG
Molecule: ribosomal RNA, 497 nt
Filed under: uncultured bacterium
Lineage: Bacteria
Description: partial 16S ribosomal RNA
Rfam family: Bacterial small subunit ribosomal RNA
Source: RNAcentral